CUACGUGCCAGCAGCCGCGGUAAUACGGAGGAUGCGAGCGUUAUCCGGAUUUAUUGGGUUUAAAGGGUGCGUAGGUUGUUCGGUAAGUCAGCGGUGAAACCUGAGCGCUCAACGUUCAGCCUGCCGUUGAAACUGCCGGGCUUGAGUUCAGUGGCGGCAGGCGGAAUUCGUGGUGUAGCGGUGAAAUGCAUAGAUAUCACGAGGAACUCCGAUUGCGAAGGCAGCUUGCCAUACUGCGACUGACACUGAAGCACGAAGGCGUGGGUAUCAAACAGGAUUAGAUACCCUGGUAGUCCACGCAGUAAACGAUGAUUACUAGGAGUUUGCGAUAUACCGUCAAGCUUCCACAGCGAAAGCGUUAAGUAAUCCACCUGGGGAGUACGCCGGCAACGGUGAAACUCAAAGGAAUUGACGGGGGCCCGCACAAGCGGAGGAACAUGUGGUUUAAUUCGAUGAUACGCGAGGAACCUUACCCGGGAUKAA
This 483-nucleotide ribosomal RNA is filed under the name uncultured bacterium. RNAcentral describes it as "bacterial SSU rRNA". It matches the Rfam family "Bacterial small subunit ribosomal RNA", at positions 501 to 984 of the family's 1533-position model. The record is from RNAcentral.